RNAcentral lists this long non-coding RNA (307 nucleotides) under Mytilus galloprovincialis (Mediterranean mussel). Lineage: Eukaryota; Metazoa; Mollusca; Bivalvia; Mytilida; Mytilidae. The record is from RNAcentral.
GUCUGCUGAUAUCCUUAUCGCGAUGAACAUGGCAAGCCCGCACAAUCUCUCGCCACUCAUGCAUGCUCUUUUCCAAGUUUUCAGUCGUUUCAGGGCAGUCUGUGUUUCUAAAGGAAGCACAUUAUCAUCAACACAAUGAUCAAUGUCUUCUUCCAAUUCCUUCUCCAUCAGCAAUUUGGUAGCAGCAUCGAUAGUAACAGUUUUGUUUGCAAAAGGGAAUUAAGCUUUCCUGUAAGCACCAUCAUACAGUUGCAGUUACAAAAUAUUAAACUCGCUUUUAUGCUGACAAAGAGUACACAAACUAGGG